AUUGCACAUGGGGGAACCUGCAUGCAGCUAUACGCGUGUGUGAUGAAGGUCUUAGGAUUGUAAAACACUUUCAGCAAGGGAAAAAAUUAAUAUAAUAAUACUUAUAUUAACUGAUAUUACCUGCAAAAGAAGUACCGGCUAACUCCGUGCCAGCAGCCGCGGUAAUACGGAGGGUACAAGCGUUAAUCGGAAUUAUUGGGCGUAAAGAGUACGUAGGUGGUAUAUUAAGUCAGAUGUGAAAUACUUAAGCUUAACUUAAGAACUGCAUUUGAAACUAAUAAACUAGAGUUUUAUAGAGGGGAGUAGAAUUCCAAGUGUAGCGGUGAAAUGCGUAGAUAUUUGGAGGAAUACCAGAGGCGAAGGCGACUCCCUGGGUAAUAACUGACACUGAGGUACGAAAGCUUGGGGAGCAAACAGGAUUAGAUACCCUGGUAGUCCAUGCUGUAAACGAUGUCAAUUUGAAGAUUGUAUAUUCAUAUUUUUAUAAUUUUCGUAGCUAACGCAUUAAAUUGACCGCCUGGGGAUUACGACCGCAAGGUUAAAACUCACAAUGAAUUGACGGGGACCCGACAAGCGGUGGAGCCAUGUGGUUUAAUUUCGGAUACCACAGCGGCGAAAAACCCUUUACCCUAACUCUUUGACAUCUUA
Molecule: ribosomal RNA, 648 nt
Filed under: endosymbiont of Sphenophorus levis
Lineage: Bacteria; Pseudomonadati; Pseudomonadota; Gammaproteobacteria
Description: bacterial SSU rRNA
Rfam family: Bacterial small subunit ribosomal RNA
Source: RNAcentral